UGAGCAGCAGAGAGGCUGUUUCCUGCUUCACUUCUGCAGGAGGAGAACUCAUCUGCUGACUGUUCGACUUUACCAUCUCCAAAGACAUGUUGCUUUACCUCUGGUUACUCUUCUCUCUCUUCAUAGCCCUGGGCUCCAUGAACAGCAUAAAGCCAGAAAGAAGUGAAGAACAUGUUGCAGAGGGCAGAAACAUCAGCCUGACAUGUAAAUAUGAGGGGACUAUCUACAGUAUCCAGUGGUACCGACAAUACCAGAGAUCCAGACCAGAGUUCCUGCUCUCCAUCACAGAGGCAGGAGGGAUCCAUCCCACUGAAUCUGAUUUCUCUGCUCACAUUGACAACACAGAGAAACGAGUUGAUCUGGAGAUCAUCUCAGCUAAAGAGACAGACUCUGCUGUGUACUACUGUGCUCUGAGGCCCACAGUGACAGGAAACACCAACACUCUGUACAAAAACCUUUGGAGCAAAGACAACACAAUACUGCACAACAUCCACCAGAGGGAGUCUCUCUCUGUUAAACAUCAAUAGUUUACUGCCUUUGGAUCUGUUACCCAGGAGGAAGUGUAACUGAGAGAAGUGAAAUACAGAUCUAAGAGGAGACAGAGAGAUUCAG
This is a non-coding RNA of Trematomus bernacchii (emerald rockcod), 612 nucleotides long. Lineage: Eukaryota; Metazoa; Chordata; Actinopteri; Perciformes; Nototheniidae. The record is from the annotation of a RefSeq genome assembly.